UUCUAUUUAUUUACUUGAUCAUUAAACGCAUAUCGUUUUCCUAAAAUUUUGGAUUGUUAUUUAUCAUUUAUUAUUGUAUAUCUAACAAAUUUUUAAUGUUUGUAUUAAUUUACAUUUGAGAUAUUCAUACAAUCUGCGUUAAUAGAGGUUAAUAGUAAUUAAUCAUAAGGUUUUACUUGGCCUGAUACACAGUGUAAACUAACGGAUUCCCGUACUCAAUAAAAUAACAAUUUAUAACAUUAAUAGUUUUUAUCAUUUCGCAUCACAUCAGAAUGUCCAAACCAUGUGCAAUUCAGAAGCAGAUCGAAAAUUCCAACGAAAUAAUAGCUGACCUGCGUGAGCGAAUCCGGAAGAUGGAACGACGGCUCCAGGACCCACAAAUGCCGGAGGAUCGCCGCAAAGAGGUGGAAACCGAAAUCAUGGAAAUUAAGAAAAUGCUCGAAACCAACGAAGAAAUGCUGCACAAACUACACCGCGAAAAUUCCAAAUCUUUUGCCAUUGCGGCAUGCUUAUUUUCAUUUGCUUCUUGAUCUACGGUGUUUAUGUACUGGUGGAUGGAGCGUAAACAUUCCUAAAAGACAGUAUUGUCAAGACGAAUUUUUCUCUAAAUAAUUGAAAUAAAACACAAAAUUGUGAUAUUUUUCAUA
Molecule: long non-coding RNA, 647 nt
Organism: Armigeres subalbatus
Lineage: Eukaryota; Metazoa; Arthropoda; Insecta; Diptera; Culicidae
Exons: 2
Source: RefSeq, a predicted model, not a curated record